RNAcentral lists this ribosomal RNA (206 nucleotides) under Salmonella enterica subsp. enterica serovar Choleraesuis. RNAcentral's name for it is "partial 16S ribosomal RNA". It matches the Rfam family "Bacterial small subunit ribosomal RNA", at positions 1328 to 1533 of the family's 1533-position model. Lineage: Bacteria; Pseudomonadati; Pseudomonadota; Gammaproteobacteria; Enterobacterales; Enterobacteriaceae. The record is from RNAcentral.
GGAAUCGCUAGUAAUCGUGGAUCAGAAUGCCACGGUGAAUACGUUCCCGGGCCUUGUACACACCGCCCGUCACACCAUGGGAGUGGGUUGCAAAAGAAGUAGGUAGCUUAACCUUCGGGAGAGCGCUUACCACUUUGUGAUUCAUGACUGGGGUGAAGUCGUAACAAGGUAACCGUAGGGGAACCUGCGGUUGGAUCACCUCCUUA